UUCUUCUGUUAUUAGUGAUGGAAUGAAUACUAGGUAGAAAAAAAAAAAUGGGGGAAAAAAACAGUACAUUGUCUUGGAUUUUGUAGGAUUACUCGACUUCAGUUGUGCUGAAUCAUUUUCUAAGCUUCUACAUUUAAUAAAGCAUUGUUACUUACUGAUAGAACGACUUGAUAGUUUAUGCAGCCAUUUUUCGAACCAGAAUACUUCACGAGUUAGGGAGAGGAAGGCAUUUGCCUUUUAAGGACAUGCAGCUUUAUUCUGUUGGUUCCUUUGAAAAUAACAGAAAUUUUAUUUUCUGAAUUGGUAUUAUGAUUUUACUUCUCUCCAUAAUGGGCCUUGGAUUUUACUAAUAGCAAAAGCAGAUUGCCCCUAACCUUUGAGCAAUUUUGUCUUCAAAGACAUGCUUUCAUUUUUUAUUACAUCCCAACAAAUGUCAGUUGAAUUAGUGAAACUAUGAAUUUUUUAUUUAAUGAUCCUACUAACUGAAAUGAAAAGCUGUUAUUAAUGCUCUUUCUUUAAAUACAUUCUGUAUCUCAUGAAAGUACUCAUGGCAAGAUCAUGGAAAAUUAAAUAAGGCAAUGAGCAGAAUCAACCAGCAUCACUGCUGAUUGCCUCAUUAAGACCCUUUACCACCAUGAAAGUCUUGGUAGAGCCUCUCCCUAUGGUAGUAUCCAUGACUUCUUUUUCCAAAUUGCAUAAACACUGAUUGAAUUCCUGUCACCUCUUUGGGAAAAUGAAUUUCAUGCUUUUCUCACUACUAUAUGAAAUGCUUAAUCUUAUUUGUCCUAAUUUUAUUCAUUUUGGGAAAAACA
Molecule: long non-coding RNA, 812 nt
Filed under: Bos taurus (domestic cattle)
Lineage: Eukaryota; Metazoa; Chordata; Mammalia; Artiodactyla; Bovidae
Description: long non-coding RNA NONBTAT025992
Source: RNAcentral